AUGGAUUGGAACCCGCAAGUGCUUUGCUAGAAUGUGAGGGGGCUCAACAGCCCAGCCAAGAAAAAUGCGGUGAGAGAGUUUGUCAUGGCAGCCAAAGUUAACCUUCUGUGUCUUCAAGAGACGAAACUUGAUGUAAUUGAUGUGUUCACUGUAAUGCAAUGCAUCGGACCAUCCUUUGAUGGGUAUGCUUAUUUUCUGGCUUCGAACACGAGGGGUAGUAUUCUUUUUGGGUGGGACAACUCCUACAUGGAGAUUAGCAACAUUGCAUGCGACACCUACUUCCUUACGGGGCUUGUGUGCAACAAAGAUGGCUUGAAAUGGUGGCUGUCGGCGGUCUAUGGACCCCAAGGGGAUGAGCAGAAGACGCAAUUCUUGGUUGACCUGCACAAUAGAAGGGCUCUAUGUCCAGGUGAAUGGAUGGUCAUUGGAGACUUUAACAUGAUUUUGAGAGUGGACGAGAAAAGCAACUCUAAUCUCAAUAGGCGCAUGAUGCAGAGGUUCAAGGAGUUCGUGGACAAUAAUGAGCUUAAAGAGCUCUAUAUGCAGGGUAGGCGCUUCACGUGGACAAAAGAGAGGGAACAUUUGGUGAUGACCAAGAUCGAUCACGUGUUGGUGUCCAUUGACUGGGAGCUUGAAAGCACAAGUGCUUCCUGGGUGAUUUUGUUAAUUAAUGUCAACAUAUCUCUUGUUGGACUAAUAUUUUUCAUCUAG
This 711-nucleotide ribosomal RNA is filed under the name Triticum aestivum (bread wheat). RNAcentral describes it as "partial small subunit ribosomal RNA". The record is from RNAcentral. Lineage: Eukaryota; Viridiplantae; Streptophyta; Magnoliopsida; Poales; Poaceae.